GGCUGGUUAGCUCAGUUGGUUAGAGCGUGGUGCUAAUAAUGCCAAGGUCGCAGGUUCGAUCCCCGACCAGGCCA
Molecule: non-coding RNA, 74 nt
Organism: Sorex araneus (European shrew)
Lineage: Eukaryota; Metazoa; Chordata; Mammalia; Eulipotyphla; Soricidae
Source: the annotation of a RefSeq genome assembly